RNAcentral lists this ribosomal RNA (547 nucleotides) under uncultured bacterium. RNAcentral's name for it is "partial 16S ribosomal RNA". It matches the Rfam family "Bacterial small subunit ribosomal RNA", at positions 355 to 891 of the family's 1533-position model. The record is from RNAcentral.
UGGGGAAUUUUGGACAAUGGGCGCAAGCCUGAUCCAGCAAUGCCGCGUGCAGGAAGAAGGCCUUCGGGUUGUAACUGCUUUUGUCAGGGAAGAAAUCCUCUGGGUUAAUACCUCGGGGGGAUGACGGUACCUGAAGAAUAAGCACCGGCUAACUACGUGCCAGCAGCCGCGGUAAUACGUAGGGUGCGAGCGUUAAUCGGAAUUACUGGGCGUAAAGCGUGCGCAGGCGGUUGUGCAAGACAGGUGUGAAAUCCCCCGGGGCUUAACCUGGGAACUGCAACUUGUGACUGCACGGCUAGAGUACGGUAGAGGGGGGAUGGAAUUCCGCGUGUAGCAGUGAAAUGCGUAGAUAUGCGGAGGAACACCCGAUGGCGAAGGCAAUCCCCUGGACCUGUACUGACGCUCAUGCACGAAAGCGUGGGGAGCAAACAGGAUUAGAUACCCUGGUAGUCCACGCCCUAAACGAUGUCAACUGGUUGUUGGACGGCUUGCUGUUCAGUAACGAAGCUAACGCGUGAAGUUGACCGCCUGGGGAGUACGGCCGCAA